Molecule: ribosomal RNA, 916 nt
Filed under: uncultured Candidatus Poseidoniales archaeon
Lineage: Archaea; Methanobacteriati; Thermoplasmatota; Candidatus Poseidoniia; Candidatus Poseidoniales
Description: SSU rRNA
Rfam family: Archaeal small subunit ribosomal RNA
Source: RNAcentral
UUCUGGUUGAUCCUGCCGGAGGCUACCGCUAUUGGAGUUCGAUUAAGCCAUGCGAGUCGAGAGUCUUAGGGACUCGGCGUACCGCUCAGUAACACGUGGGUAACCUGCCCUAUGCUGGGGAAUAACCUCGGGAAACUGAGAAUAAUGCCCCAUAGUCCACAAUGCCUGGAACGGUUUGUGGAUUAAAGCCCCGGCGGCAUAGGAUGGGCCUGCGGCGUAUCAGGUUGUAGGGGGUGUAACGUACCCUCUAGCCAUCAACGCGUACGGGUGUUGGGAGACAUAGCCCGGAGAUGGAUUCUGAGACACGAAUCCAGACCCUACGGGGUGCAGCAGGCGCGAAAACUUGGCAAUGCGAGAAAUCGUGACCAGGGAACUCCAAGUGGCUGGGGUAAGACCCAGUCUUUUCUUGACUCUUCAAAGGUCUUGGAAUAAGAGGUGGGUAAGGACGGUGCCAGCCGCCGCGGUAAUACCGGCGCCUCAAGUGGUAGUCGAUUUUAUUGGGCCUAAAACGUCCGUAGCCUGUUUGGUACAUUCGUGGGUAAAUCAACCAGCUCAACUGGUUGAAUUCUGCGAGCACGGCCAGACUUGGGACCGGGAGAGGUGUGGGGUACGCUCAGGGUAGGGGUAAAAUCCUGUCAUCCUGAGCGGACCACCUGUUGCGAAGGCGCCACACUAGAACGGAUCCGACGGUCAGGGACGAAGCCUAGGGGCACGAACCGGAUUAGAUACCCGGGUAGUCCUAGGUGUAAACGCUGUGGACUUGGUGUUGGGGAUUCUCCGAGGAUCUUCAGUGCCGAAGCGAAGGUGAUAAGUCCACUGCCUGGGGAGUACGGUCGCAAGGCUGAAACUUAAAGGAAUUGGCGGGGGAGCACCGCAACCUGAGGAUUGUGCGGUUUAAUUGGACUCAACGCCGGGA